Molecule: non-coding RNA, 163 nt
Organism: Pseudonaja textilis
Lineage: Eukaryota; Metazoa; Chordata; Lepidosauria; Squamata; Elapidae
Source: RefSeq, a predicted model, not a curated record
AUGUAUAUAUAAAUAUAUAUAUAUAUAUAUAUAUAUAUGUAUGCAGGUCUUGGAGUGUUCGGGUCUUUUCCCGUGUAAGAUUGAGAGCAUCUUGGCAGCGUUUCGAUGAGGUCCUACUCGCCAUCUCCAGGCUGGUGCUUUCGGCUUCGUGCUUGUGCGAGCA